Molecule: long non-coding RNA, 1569 nt
Filed under: Homo sapiens (human)
Lineage: Eukaryota; Metazoa; Chordata; Mammalia; Primates; Hominidae
Description: non-protein coding lnc-ROCK2-3:14
Source: RNAcentral
CAGGCUCUCCCUCUAUCGUCCAGGCUGGAGUGCAGUGGCACCAUCACGACUGACUGCAGCCUCCUGCGCCCCGUGAUCUUCCCACCUCAGUGCCCUGAGUAACUGGGACCACAGCUUCCCAUGGGUGGCCAGCCGAAUGCAUUAUGGGAGAAAGCAGGUCUCGUGGAUAAUAUUUCUGAAGAUCGGAGCAGGUUGCCAGGUCCACGUCGGCCAUGACUGCAGCACGCUCCGGAGGCAGCAGGGGGCACCCUGGAGCUUCGCAUCCUCCUUCAGGCCCGCGGCAUCUCCCCUGGCUCCACCAUCCCCAGGUGUCUCAGGUUGGACGCACGGUAGUUCGCUAUGGCCAUUUCUGAUUAAAGACAGAACAAAUGGAUUGUCCGGAUACGGUGUCUGUGAAAGGAACCCAGCUGUGAGCCUCGGCAGGCAGGUGCGACAUUCUAAAUCCACAGGGAGGGCCCAGAAGGGACGCAAGAGGUCACCUGCCGUGCAGGGUGCGGGGGGUCUUGGAGGUGGGCAGCAGCUGUUCACCCGUGAGCGACGAGGAGCAUCAGCGCUUGAACAGCGGAAGCAGCAUUUACAGGUGAACACCAGCCCGAGAGGGCCGGGGGGCCCAAAGCUAUGGUGUCCAGAGCCUCCCAGCUCCCACUCUGGCCUCCAGUGGCCAUGGAAUUGCUAACUAUGAGGGCGCAAGCUUCUCCCAGCAAGUCAAGGGGAUGCUAUGUGCUGCGAUAACGGGUCCGGCCGCCUUGCCUUUGGCCUUCCAAGCCCCUCUCUGAGCCCCAGGACGUACCCACACCUGCCGGCCCAUGUAGGGUGGUCCCAGCCUGCGUCAGUCAGGCCACACUCCGGAGCCAGGCUUGGUGCAAACUCCCAGCUGAGCUCACCCGCUGGCUGCGGUCUGUGAUACUUCCCUGGUGGUCUCUGACGGGGCUGUAUGGCCUCCCUCUGGAACCCAGGCUGAACACUCGAGGAGCUGGAGGCAGUCGGGCAGAAUCAGCCUCUGGUUGCCAGCAUGGGGUGUCAGGCAGGGGCAAUCCAGCGGGGAGCCUGGGGAGAGAGGGCGGGGGUGAGGCACUGAUCUCAGGCUGUGGGGAGGAAUUCACACCUGCAUGGCUGAGGCUGGUGCUGCCCCCCUGAUCACCAGGAGAUCAGCCUCUCCUUCCCCAGCCUCAAUUUGCACCCCUGGCCUGUGCGGUUGGCACUGUCUCCCGUGGGGAGCCCCUGCCUGGCUCAGGGGAGACCCUGGUGCAGAGCCCACCUUUGGAGCUGCCCUGUCCUGCUGAGGCAGGAGCCACCCCUGGCCUGGCCCUGGCCCUGGCCCUGGCCCUCCGGUGAGGCUGCAGUAGCCAGGAGAAGGCCAGUCAGAAAGGCCAUCUGCCUGGCGGGUGUUUCUAGCCAGCAGGCCAGGGUAAGGAAGUUGUCAGGCGUCCUGCGGGGAUGGCCAGGGUUGCAGACAGGGGUGGCAGCCAGCUCCAUGUAGCUCUGGGACCCAGGUGUGUGGCAGGGCCAGGAGCAUGUUCUGCUGCUCUUCCAGGCCCGACUCCAGCUCAUUUCCUUGAGAGACCCUUU